UGAAUUACCUGGCAGGGGAGAUACCAUGAACACAUAGGUGAUUUUCCCAGGGAAAGUCUCCUCCACUGCAUUCCAGAUGGGCUGACACCUGCAGUUCUCUCAUGUGCAACAAACUUGAUUGUGUAAUUUGGUAGUGGGGGGACUGUGUUUGCACUUUCCACUA
This is a small nuclear RNA of Manis pentadactyla (Chinese pangolin), 163 nucleotides long. RefSeq annotates it as U1 spliceosomal RNA. The record is from RefSeq and is a predicted model, not a curated record. The transcript has a single exon. Lineage: Eukaryota; Metazoa; Chordata; Mammalia; Pholidota; Manidae.